Molecule: ribosomal RNA, 468 nt
Filed under: uncultured bacterium
Lineage: Bacteria
Description: partial 16S ribosomal RNA
Rfam family: Bacterial small subunit ribosomal RNA
Source: RNAcentral
GACGAACGCUGGCGGCGUGCUUAACACAUGCAAGUCGAGCGGAAAGGCCCUGCUUUUGUGGGGUGCUCGAGUGGCGAACGGGUGAGUAACACGUGAGUAACCUGCCCUUGACUUUGGGAUAACUUCAGGAAACUGGGGCUAAUACCGGGUAGGAGCUCCUGCUGCAUGGUGGGGGUUGGAAAGUUUCGGCGGUUGGGGAUGGACUCGCGGCUUAUCAGCUUGGUGGUGGGGUAGUGGCUUACCAAGGCUUUGACGGGUAGCCGGCCUGGGCGGGUGACCGGCCACACUGGGACUGAGAUAGGGCCCAGACUGAUAGGGGAGGCAGAAGUGGGGAAUAUUGACCAAUGGGCGGAAGCCUGAUGCAGAAACUCCGAGUGCAGGAUUGCGGAAUUCGGGUUGUAAACCGAUUUCGCCUGUGACGAAGCGUGAGUGACGGUAAUGUGUAAAGAAGCACCGGCUAACUACGUG